UACGGAGGGUGCAAGCGUUAUCCGGAUUCACUGGGUUUAAAGGGUGCGCAGGCGGAUAUGUAAGUCAGUGGUGAAAUCUCUAGGCUUAACCUGGAAAUUGCCGUUGAUACUAUAUAUCUUGAAUGCUGUGGAGGUAAGCGGAAUAUGUCAUGUAGCGGUGAAAUGCUUAGAUAUGACAUAGAACACCUAUUGCGAAGGCAGCUUACUACGCAGAUAUUGACGCUCAUGCACGAAAGCGUGGGGAUCAAACAGG
This 253-nucleotide ribosomal RNA is filed under the name uncultured bacterium. RNAcentral describes it as "partial 16S ribosomal RNA". It matches the Rfam family "Bacterial small subunit ribosomal RNA", at positions 524 to 776 of the family's 1533-position model. The record is from RNAcentral.